CGUGUAGGCGGUUGGUCAAGUCGGGUGUGAAAGCCUGGGGCUCAGCCCCAGAAGUGCAUCCGAAACUAGCCAGCUAGAGCGCGAUAGAGGAGGGUGGAAUUCCUGGUGUAGCGGUGAAAUGCGUAGAUAUCAGGAGGAACACCGGCGGCGAAGGCGGCCCUCUGGAUCGUUGCUGACGCUGAGACGCGAAAGCGUGGGGAGCAAACAGGAUUAGAUACCCUGGUAGUCCACGCCUUAAACGAUGGGUACUAGGUGCUCGGGGUGUUGACCCCCUGAGUGCCGCAGUUAACGCAUUAAGUACCCCGCCUGGGGACUACGGCCGCAAGGUUAAA
RNAcentral lists this ribosomal RNA (332 nucleotides) under uncultured bacterium. Its description in RNAcentral is "bacterial SSU rRNA". It matches the Rfam family "Bacterial small subunit ribosomal RNA", at positions 568 to 898 of the family's 1533-position model. The record is from RNAcentral.